AUUGAACGCUGGCGGCAGGCCUAACACAUGCAAGUCGAGCGGACGAAGGGAGCUUGCUCCUGGAUUCAGCGGCGGACGGGUGAGUAAUGCCUAGGAAUCUGCCUGGUAGUGGGGGAUAACGUCCGGAAACGGGCGCUAAUACCGCAUACGUCCAGAGGGAGAAAGUGGGGGAUCUUCGGACCUCACGCUAUCAGAUGAGCCUAGGUCGGAUUAGCUAGUUGGUGGGGUAAAGGCCUACCAAGGCGACGAUCCGUAACUGGUCUGAGAGGAUGAUCAGUCACACUGGAACUGAGACACGGUCCAGACUCCUACGGGAGGCAGCAGUGGGGAAUAUUGGACAAUGGGCGAAAGCCUGAUCCAGCCAUGCCGCGUGUGUGAAGAAGGUCUUCGGAUUGUAAAGCACUUUAAGUUGGGAGGAAGGGCAGUAAGUUAAUACCUUGCUGUUUUGACGUUACCAACAGAAUAAGCACCGGCUAACUUCGUG
Molecule: ribosomal RNA, 484 nt
Filed under: uncultured bacterium
Lineage: Bacteria
Description: partial 16S ribosomal RNA
Rfam family: Bacterial small subunit ribosomal RNA
Source: RNAcentral